GACGAACGCUGGCGGCGUGCUUAACACAUGCAAGUCGAACGGAAAGGCCCUGCUUGUGUGUUGUGCUGGAUUGGCGGACGGGUGCGUAAGACGUGAGUAACCUGCCCUUGACUUUCGGAUAACUUCAGGAAACUGAGGCUAAUACCGGAUAGGAGCUCCUGCUUCAUGGUGGGGGUUGGAACGUUUCGGCGUGUGGGGAUGGACUCGCGGCUGAUCGGCUUGUUGGUUGGGUAGUGGCUGACCAAGGCUUUGACGGAUAGCCUGCCUGGGCGGGUGACCGGCCACACUGGGCCUGAGAUAGGGCACAGCCUGGAAUGGUAGGCAGCAGUGGAGAGUAUUAUACAGUGGGCGGACGCAGGAUGAGGAGACGCCGCGUGCGGGAAGACGGCAUGUGGGGUGUGAACCGCAGUAGGCUGAGACGAAGCGUGAGUGACGGUAAUGGACAAAGAAGCACCGGCUAACUACGUG
Molecule: ribosomal RNA, 468 nt
Filed under: uncultured bacterium
Lineage: Bacteria
Description: partial 16S ribosomal RNA
Rfam family: Bacterial small subunit ribosomal RNA
Source: RNAcentral